RNAcentral lists this long non-coding RNA (544 nucleotides) under Priapulus caudatus. Its description in RNAcentral is "uncharacterized LOC106820744, transcript variant X1". The record is from RNAcentral. Lineage: Eukaryota; Metazoa; Priapulida; Priapulimorpha; Priapulimorphida; Priapulidae.
GAGACCGCUCGUGCCACAGGUAUUGCCUCUGGUGCUUAGUGCUGGCGUAUAUAAGACGCACGGGAAAAGGAUCGGCGCUGGCUAUCUACCGAACGGACCGUACACACACAUGAUGCAGCCGUUGCUGAUGCUCAGCUUUUGCGUGGCGUGCGCCGUGGCGUCGCUACCCCCACCCCCGGUUCUCCCGAGCCUCUCCUCUAACACAUAUGAAAAUCCCGCUGCAAGGAGAAUAGAGGCUCGCUUCAGAGAUCUGGCACGACCGGGAGGAAGCAGGGCCUACUUUCGCCCACCUGCGAACGUGUACCGUGGACCGCGAGCGCAUCCCACGCCCAUCGUCGCUCCGGUCUCUGCUGUGACGAACGUGAAAUACUCCAAGCCAACGCAACCCUACGAUAGACCGCCGCUGGGCGGACCGCCCCCUGGCUACAAGAGAAGCGGGAAACACUACGAGCUCGUUCCAGUUCACGAACACGAGAUGUGGAAGCCCUCGAGCUAUUCCUCAAGUCCAUCACCUGCCACCUAAAGACGGCCAAGCAUCAAGUAC